UGGGGAGUAUUGCACAGUGGGGGAAACCCGUGAUGCAGCGACGCCGCGUGAGGGAAGACGGUCCUCUGGAUUGUAAACCUCUGUCUUCGGGGACGAAACGAGACGGUACCCGAGGAGGAAGCCACGGCUAACUACGUGCCAGCAGCCGCGGUAAUACGUAGGUGGCAAGCGUUGUCCGGAAUUACUGGGUGUAAAGGGAGCGUAGGCGGGCAGGCAAGUCAGGCGUGAAAUAUAUCGGCUCAACCGGUAUCUGCGCUUGAAACUGCAGGUCUUGGAGU
Molecule: ribosomal RNA, 278 nt
Filed under: uncultured Acetanaerobacterium sp.
Lineage: Bacteria; Bacillati; Bacillota; Clostridia; Eubacteriales; Oscillospiraceae
Description: partial 16S ribosomal RNA
Rfam family: Bacterial small subunit ribosomal RNA
Source: RNAcentral